UCAGGCACCUACGGACAAGCCAUGCUAGUCAUGACUUCACUCAUGAGUGAUAUUAUCCUCUGAUGCUGCUGCUCACAUUUUAUAUAAUAUCUUGGUGACUCACCAGUGAGUUAAACAGAUUACUAUCUUCUGCAGCCUGGAAUUUAGGCACAAAUGUUCCAUCUACACCUUAUGUGCAUAAAUCUGUCCUCUAUGGGAUAUUUCCCUUGCAGAGUUUUCCAGAGUAUUCCAAGAUCAGCAGUGUUGAAAGUCAAGGGAUGAAUUUGCCCUGAAGGUUUUGCUUUCAUCCACAGAGGCAAAAAGGGAGUAUCAGCUCUAUCCCUGUAAACCCAAAAUCUGCACAUAAUCUCUUGCACAUGAUGGAAGUAGCAUGUCAGAAUAACAAGCUGAAGCCCUUUCCCAGGAAAGAAGAAUUGCAGGCUGGACUGCAACAGAAGACAAAUACAGCUGCUGAAGAAUGGAGUGACUGAUAUAUAAGAAAAGAGACACAUGCUGGAAGGCCUAAAAAAAAAUAUCUAGCACAGAGUCCAGCCUUGAACUUGAUGAUUUUUGACCAUCCUCACCUGAAUCAGCAUUUGCUCAACAAUCUCUAGUGGUGUAAUGCCUUUUAAUUCUGGCUGAAUCUUUCAAAAAUCCCUUGAAUAUUGAACAGUUAACUGAGAAAGUUUAAUCAGUGCAAAGAUUUAUUGCACUAAUGAUGUAGGUUAUCAACUGAUAUCCUAAUUACCUAAAAUAUUCAUCUACCCCAGCACCACGUAAGAGUUUUUCAAUUCCCACAAUUGUUCUUUUUUUUUUCCUAAUGCUGUCUUAGACAGAGUAAUGAUUCAUUUGGAAGAGAUCCAAGACAAACAUUAUUUAAAUCACUUGAUCCAUUUACUAAGUUGUUGAAAAAUUAACAAGAGCAUUGUUUAAUACACCAUUCUUUUUAG
Passer domesticus (house sparrow) is the source of this 929-nucleotide long non-coding RNA. RefSeq lists it as uncharacterized. The transcript is spliced from 3 exons. NCBI's taxonomy places the organism in Eukaryota, Metazoa, Chordata, Aves, Passeriformes, Passeridae. The record is from RefSeq and is a predicted model, not a curated record.